GCCCGUGCCUAGAAAAUGAUUCUAGAAUUUUACAUUGACCCGACCCGACUCAUGAUGAGGUGUGUAGUAACCCAAAUUCGUUUGGCCCAGACAAAACAAAAACCAAAAAAAUCAAAAAAUAAUAUUAAUAUCAUAGUCCAUUUUACAAAAAAAAAAAAACAGAGUGGCCAAAAUUACAAGCCCUAACCUAAACUACCCUAACCCAAACUUGCUAAACCCAAUAACCCAGCAACCCAAAAGCCCAAAACCUAAACAUUUUCAGAAACCUUAGCCCCCUCUCGUGCUGCAACCUCUCCCCAUCGGCAGGCGUG
This 311-nucleotide long non-coding RNA is filed under the name Gossypium raimondii (Peruvian cotton). RNAcentral's name for it is "long non-coding RNA (GRAI_LNC009457)". The record is from RNAcentral. Lineage: Eukaryota; Viridiplantae; Streptophyta; Magnoliopsida; Malvales; Malvaceae.